AGAGUUUGAUCAUGGCUCAGAUUGAACGCUGGCGGCAGGCCUAACACAUGCAAGUCGAACGGAAACAUGCCUAGCUUGCUAGAUGAUGUCGAGUGGCGGACGGGUGAGUAAUACUUAGGAACAUGCCUUUAGGUGGGGGAUAACUAUUGGAAACGAUAGCUAAUACCGCAUAAUGUCUACGGACCAAAGGGGGCUUGCUCCCGCCUAGAGAGUGGCCUAAGCGAGAUUAUCUUGUUGGUGAGGUAAAGGCUCACCAAGGCGACGAUCUCUAGCUGUUCUGAGAGGAAGAUCAGCCACACUGGGACUGAGACACGGCCCAGACUCCUACGGGAGGCAGCAGUGGGGAAUAUUGCACAAUGGGGGAAACCCUGAUGCAGCCAUGCCGCGUGUGUGAAGAAGGCCUUCGGGUUGUAAAGCACUUUCAGUUGUGAGGAAAGGGAUUUGGUUAAUACCCAAGUUCUGUGACGUUAGCAACAGAAGAAGGACCGGCUAACUCCGUGCCAGCAGCCGCGGUAAUACGGAGGGUCCGAGCGUUAAUCGGAAUUACUGGGCGUAAAGCGCACGCAGGCGGUUUGUUAAGCUAGAUGUGAAAGCCCCGGGCUCAACCUGGGAAUAGCAUUUAGAACUGGCAGACUAGAGUCUUGGAGAGGGGAGUGGAAUUUCUGGUGUAGCGGUGAAAUGCGUAGAUAUCAGAAGGAACAUCAGUGGCGAAGGCGACUCCCUGGCCAAAGACUGACGCUCAUGUGCGAAAGUGUGGGUAGCGAACAGGAUUAGAUACCCUGGUAGUCCACACCGUAAACGCUGUCCACUAGCUGUUUGUGGAUUUAAUCCGUGAGUAGCGAAGCUAACGCGAUAAGUAGACCGCCUGGGGAGUACGGCCGCAAGGUUAAAACUCAAAUGAAUUGAUGGGGGCCCGCACAAGCGGUGGAGCAUGUGGUUUAAUUCGAUGCAACGCGAAGAACCUUACCUACUCUUGACAUACUAGAAACUUUUCAGAGAUGAAUUGGUGCCUUCGGGAAUCUAGAUACAGGUGCUGCAUGGCUGUCGUCAGCUCGUGUCGUGAGAUGUUGGGUUAAGUCCCGUAACGAGCGCAACCCUUGUCCUUAGUUGCCAGCACAUAAUGGUGGGAACUCUAAGGAGACUGCCGGUGACAAACCGGAGGAAGGUGGGGAUGACGUCAAGUCAUCAUGACCCUUAUGGGCUGGGCUACACACGUGCUACAAU
RNAcentral lists this ribosomal RNA (1224 nucleotides) under metagenome. RNAcentral describes it as "bacterial SSU rRNA". It matches the Rfam family "Bacterial small subunit ribosomal RNA", at positions 8 to 1231 of the family's 1533-position model. The record is from RNAcentral.